Molecule: non-coding RNA, 26 nt
Filed under: Mus musculus (house mouse)
Lineage: Eukaryota; Metazoa; Chordata; Mammalia; Rodentia; Muridae
Source: RNAcentral
UUAAAAACUGCAGCCUACAAAAAACA